AACGCACAUUGCGCCCUCUGGUAUUCCGGGGGGCAUGCCUGUUCGAGCGUCAUUAUAACCACUCAAGCUCUCGCUUGGUAUUGGGGUUCGCGGUUUCGCGGCCCCUAAAAUCAGUGGCGGUGCCUGUCGGCUCUACGCGUAGUAAUACUCCUCGCGAUUGAGUCCGGUAGGUUUACUUGCCAGCAACCCCCAAUUUUUACAGGUUGACCUCGGAUCAGGUAGGGAUACCCGCUGAACUUAA
This 241-nucleotide unclassified non-coding RNA is filed under the name uncultured Helotiales. Its description in RNAcentral is "sequence contains ITS2". The stretch from base 1 to 52 matches the Rfam family "5.8S ribosomal RNA", at positions 103 to 154 of the family's 154-position model. Lineage: Eukaryota; Fungi; Ascomycota; Leotiomycetes; Helotiales. The record is from RNAcentral.